GACGAGCGCUGGCGGCGUGCCUAAUACAUGCAAGUGGGACGCAAGGGAACACACUGUGCUUGCACACCGUGUUUUCUUGAGUCGCGAACGGGUGAGUAACGCGUAGGUAACCUGCCUAUUAGCGGGGGAUAACUAUUGGAAACGAUAGCUAAUACCGCAUAAUAUUAAUUAUUGCAUGAUAAUUGAUUGAAAGAUGCAAGCGCAUCACUAGUAGAUGGACCUGCGUUGUAUUAGCUAGUUGGUGAGGUAACGGCUCACCAAGGCAACGAUACAUAGCCGACCUGAGAGGGUGAUCGGCCACACUGGGACUGAGACACGGCCCAGACUCCUACGGGAGGCAGCAGUAGGGAAUCUUCGGCAAUGGACGGAAGUCUGACCGAGCAACGCCGCGUGAGUGAAGAAGGUUUUCGGAUCGUAAAGCUCUGUUGUAAGAGAAGAACGAGUGUGAGAGUGGAAAGUUCACACUGUGACGGAUCUAC
RNAcentral lists this ribosomal RNA (479 nucleotides) under Streptococcus sp. oral taxon E30. RNAcentral describes it as "bacterial SSU rRNA". It matches the Rfam family "Bacterial small subunit ribosomal RNA", at positions 28 to 483 of the family's 1533-position model. Lineage: Bacteria; Bacillati; Bacillota; Bacilli; Lactobacillales; Streptococcaceae. The record is from RNAcentral.